Immersiella caudata is the source of this 105-nucleotide non-coding RNA. The record is from the annotation of a GenBank genome assembly. NCBI's taxonomy places the organism in Eukaryota, Fungi, Ascomycota, Sordariomycetes, Sordariales, Lasiosphaeriaceae.
GCUUGAUUAGCCCAGCUGGUUAGAGCGUCGUACUAACACAGAACGGUAUUAAUUCAUCUGUAUCCUGUAAUGCGAAGGCAAAAGGUUCAAUCCUGUUAUCGAGCA